Molecule: ribosomal RNA, 263 nt
Filed under: Lysinibacillus xylanilyticus
Lineage: Bacteria; Bacillati; Bacillota; Bacilli; Caryophanales; Bacillaceae
Description: partial 16S ribosomal RNA
Rfam family: Bacterial small subunit ribosomal RNA
Source: RNAcentral
AAGUCGUUCUCAGUUCGGAUUGUAGGCUGCAACUCGCCUACAUGAAGCCGGAAUCGCUAGUAAUCGCGGAUCAGCAUGCCGCGGUGAAUACGUUCCCGGGCCUUGUACACACCGCCCGUCACACCACGAGAGUUUGUAACACCCGAAGUCGGUGGGGUAACCUUUAUGGAGCCAGCCGCCGAAGGCGGGAUAGAUGAUUGGGGUGAAGUCGUAACAAGGUAGCCGUAUCGGAAGGUGCGGCUGGAUCACCUCCUUUCUAAGGA